RNAcentral lists this ribosomal RNA (439 nucleotides) under uncultured bacterium. Its description in RNAcentral is "partial 16S ribosomal RNA". It matches the Rfam family "Bacterial small subunit ribosomal RNA", at positions 338 to 795 of the family's 1533-position model. The record is from RNAcentral.
CCUACGGGGGGCAGCAGUGGGGGAUAUUGCACAAUGGAGGAAACUCUGAUGCAGCGACGCCGCGUGAGGGAAGACGGUCUUCGGAUUGUAAACCUCUGUCUUUGGGGAAGAAAAUGACGGUACCCAAAGAGGAAGCUCCGGCUAACUACGUGCCAGCAGCCGCGGUAAUACGUAGGGCGCGAGCGUUAUCCGGAAUUACUGGGUGUAAAGUGAGCGUAGGCUGUCGGGAAAGUUGAGUGUUAAAUCUACGGGCUCAACUGCUAGUCGCGUUGAAUACUUCCAGUCUUGAGUGAAAUAGAGGCAGGCGGAAUUCCAAGUGAAGCGGUGAAAUGCGUAGAUAUAAGGAAGAACACCAGAGGCGAAGGCGGCCUGCUGGGUUUAUACUGACGCUGAGGGUCGAAAGCGUGGGGAGCAAACAGGAUUAGAUACCCCGGUAGUC